GGGUAACAUAGUAUCUACCUCACAGGAUCGUGUGGGCAGUACAUGCAUAGAAAGGAUUUAACACGCAGUGUACUCAGCUAGUUUUAUUAUUUAUCCGUGAUGAUCAUUUGUUCUUUUCCCCUAACUGUGCCUCACAAGUACGAAACAGAAUCUACCAAACAUUUAGGUCUGGGUAGUGGUUGGAUGGAAACCCACCGCGGGUUAACGCUUCCAACACCAGUCCCUUGACACUCUCCCGCCGAGGAGGCUGAUUUGUAAACUUGCUGAGAAGAGACUACCCAGCAGAUCUUUCAGACUAUCAAGAUCUCCACUUAGGGAAGUGGGAAUCUUAUUUGCGGAACAUUGGGCAGAAGCUUUGACAUUGGCUGGUGGAGAAGGAGGAGGCAGAAUGUCUGCAUUGUUACACCAUACAGCUCAAACUUCAGAAGACUUUGGGUUAAGCAGUUACCAUUAGUCUGCAAAUGAUCGUGUUUUCACCUGAUCAUUAGAAACUAAUGAAACACCUUUUAAGUCUUAUGAAUUCAGGUUACACUGUUUUCCAGAUGCCUUGGCAGCUGGUACAGGU
This 565-nucleotide long non-coding RNA is filed under the name Pan troglodytes (chimpanzee). Its description in RNAcentral is "long non-coding RNA NONPTRT010535". The record is from RNAcentral. Lineage: Eukaryota; Metazoa; Chordata; Mammalia; Primates; Hominidae.